AAUAUUGCACAAUGGGCGCAAGCCUGAUGCAGCAACGCCGCGUGAGGGAUGACGGCCUUCGGGUUGUAAACCUCUUUUGUCAAGGAAGAAGCCUUCGGGUGACGGUACCUGGAGAAAAAGCACCGGCUAACUACGUGCCAGCAGCCGCGGUAAUACGUAGGGUGCAAGCGUUGUCCGGAAUUAUUGGGCGUAAAGAGCUCGUAGGCGGCUUGUCGCGUCUGCCGUGAAAGCCCGAGGCUCAACCUCGGGUCUGCGGUGGGUACGGGCAGGCUAGAGUGCGGUAGGGGAGAUUGGAAUUCCUGGUGUAGCGGUGGAAUGCGCAGAUAUCAGGAGGAACACCGAUGGCGAAGGCAGAUCUCUGGGCCGUAACUGACGCUGAGGAGCGAAAGCCUGGGGAGCGAACAG
RNAcentral lists this ribosomal RNA (405 nucleotides) under uncultured bacterium. Its description in RNAcentral is "partial 16S ribosomal RNA". It matches the Rfam family "Bacterial small subunit ribosomal RNA", at positions 360 to 775 of the family's 1533-position model. The record is from RNAcentral.